AGUAAAUUCUUAAUUGGCUAUUUGAGCAUGUAUUUUUAUGUGUACCCGCAUUGCACGAAUGAUUCGCGAGCAGGGUGAUUGUUUAUUUUAUGUUGACUUCAUCUCAUGGAUAGUUCGCGAGCGGGGUAAUAGAUGCAUCUGUGGUUCGAGCUGUUCGACCCUCGGCAGUCACAGUUUGCUUUUAUGUAGGAUCCGGCCGUACGUCUCACGGUGAUUAUUUGCACAUGCUGGUAUUGUUGCCUUGAACUUAUUAAAGUUGUUAUUGCC
This 267-nucleotide long non-coding RNA is filed under the name Nicotiana benthamiana. RNAcentral describes it as "long non-coding RNA (NBEN_LNC022182)". Lineage: Eukaryota; Viridiplantae; Streptophyta; Magnoliopsida; Solanales; Solanaceae. The record is from RNAcentral.